This is a microRNA precursor of Colobus angolensis palliatus, 89 nucleotides long. The record is from Ensembl. NCBI's taxonomy places the organism in Eukaryota, Metazoa, Chordata, Mammalia, Primates, Cercopithecidae.
GGUGACUCCCUGGAACUGCCUUAGGAGAAAGUUUCUGGAAGUUUUGACAUUCCAGAAACCUUCUCCUAAGGCAGUCCCUGGGAGUCACU